Molecule: ribosomal RNA, 510 nt
Filed under: uncultured bacterium
Lineage: Bacteria
Description: bacterial SSU rRNA
Rfam family: Bacterial small subunit ribosomal RNA
Source: RNAcentral
GAUCAUGGCUCAGGAUGAACGCUAGCGACAGGCUUAACACAUGCAAGUCGAGGGGCAGCAUAGAAGUAGCAAUACUCGGUGGCGACCGGCGCACGGGUGAGUAACGCGUAUGCAACCGUACCUAUCAGAGGGGAAUAACCCGGCGAAAGUCGGACUAAUACCGCAUAAAGCAGGGGCACCGCAUGGUGAUAUUGUUAAAGAAAUUCGCUGAUAGAUGGGCAUGCGUUCCAUUAGGUAGUUGGUGAGGUAACGGCUCACCAAGCCGACGAUGGAUAGGGGAACUGAGAGGUUGGUCCCCCACACUGGUACUGAGACACGGACCAGACUCCUACGGGAGGCAGCAGUGAGGAAUAUUGGUCAAUGGGCGGGAGCCUGAACCAGCCAAGUCGCGUGAAGGAAGAAGGAUCUAUGGUUCGUAAACUUCUUUUGCAGGGGAAUAAAGUGCAGGACGUGUCCUGUUUUGUAUGUACCCUGAGAAUAAGGAUCGGCUAACUCCGUGCCAGCAGCCGC